AUUAUUAUGGCAGAUAAGUGUAUUAAUUUUAGGAAUUAAUUAUAUAUAAUAAAUUUAUAUUAAUAAUG
RNAcentral lists this transfer RNA (68 nucleotides) under Trybliographa sp. ZJUH 20220008. RNAcentral describes it as "tRNA-Leu". Lineage: Eukaryota; Metazoa; Arthropoda; Insecta; Hymenoptera; Figitidae. The record is from RNAcentral.